CUCAAAUUUGAAAUCUGGCACCUUCGGUGUCCGAGUUGUAAUUUGAAGAAGGUAACUUUGGAGUUGGCUCUUGUCUAUGUUCCUUGGAACAGGACGUCACAGAGGGUGAGAAUCCCGUGCGAUGAGAUGUCCAACUCUAUGUAAAGUGCUUUCGAAGAGUCGAGUUGUUUGGGAAUGCAGCUCUAAGUGGGUGGUAAAUUCCAUCUAAAGCUAAAUAUUGGCGAGAGACCGAUAGCGAACAAGUACAGUGAUGGAAAGAUGAAAAGAACUUUGAAAAGAGAGUGAAAAAGUACGUGAAAUUGUUGAAAGGGAAGGGUUUGAGAUCAGACUUGGUAUUUUGUAUGUCUUGCUUUCGGGUGGGGCCUCUGCAGUUUACUGGGCCAGCAUCGGUUUGGACGGUAGGAUAAUGACAUUGGAAUGUGGCACUACUUCGGUGGUGUGUUAUAGACUUUGUUGAUACUGCCUGUCUAGACCGAGGACUGCGUCUUUGACUAGGAUGCUGGCAUAAUGAUCCUAAACCGCC
This 523-nucleotide ribosomal RNA is filed under the name Scheffersomyces shehatae. RNAcentral's name for it is "eukaryotic LSU rRNA". It matches the Rfam family "Eukaryotic large subunit ribosomal RNA", at positions 108 to 649 of the family's 3401-position model. The record is from RNAcentral. Lineage: Eukaryota; Fungi; Ascomycota; Pichiomycetes; Serinales; Debaryomycetaceae.